This 4065-nucleotide long non-coding RNA is filed under the name Homo sapiens (human). RNAcentral describes it as "PREDICTED lncRNA (TCONS_00210323)". The record is from RNAcentral. Lineage: Eukaryota; Metazoa; Chordata; Mammalia; Primates; Hominidae.
AGUGCUGAUCAGACCUAGUAAGCACAAAGUCGCAAAUAUCCCAGACACCCUGACCACAGACACACAUGUAUACCAAGGACAGGAAUAAAUACCUAAAACUGUAAGGCACUGCCACCUUCUUAGAUGUCUUGGUGAGAGGUCCACUGUUCAGAGGGCACACUGAGAUAUAAGGCGAAGGCCUUUUUGGAUCUGUAGUGUGCUACCUCUUUAAUGGGAAAUCUUAGAGGCUAUCAGUAUUGAAUGGUGACCAGAGGAAAAUACUGCUCUACAUAUAGGUCUGGGCUGUCAUACAAACUGAUCUGCUACUGGGGCCUCAUGACCUAGCAGAUCCAAAAGUAUUCAACAUGUUUGUGGCAGAUGCAAAUGCUGUUUAGAACCUUCGAGAGGUCGCUGUAGAAGCACAAUGCAAAACUUCAGGAUUUUGGAGCAAAACUUUGUCAUCUUUUGCACACACAGUGUUCUCUUUUGAUAGCUCCUGGUGUGCUACUGGACCUUAGUAGAGAUAGAAUGUCUGACUCUGAGCCACUAAGUAACCAUUCAACCUCUUCUGCCCUUCAAGAACUGGGAAAUGUCUGAAAAAACAAGUAAUGAAACGUGUGUAUAGCAGCACUCCAUUACAAGUUGUAGUUUUAUAUACGAGAUUGGUCUCAAGCAAGACCUAAAGGUAAAAGUAAGAGGCUCAGAUUUGCAUGGCUCCUCCUCUUGCUGCAUUAACUGCUGUCUCUCAACGCAAGCAUACUGUAACAUAUUGAUGGAGGAGGAAAAUGCUGAGUCUCGUUUACUGAUAAUUCUAUGUAACAUGCUGGCAUCACCUAAAGUGGAGAACUGCGAGAUUACUGCCCCAUCCAAGAAAACCCUUCAGCAGCCCCAUUCUUCAGGAACCGUGAAGGACUAUGGCAAAGAGAUGAUAAAUAGCCAAAGACGUCAAUGGCACCCAUGGACAUAGUAAGCAUAGUAGGAGCUGAAAAACUAGAAGCAAUGACAAUGUCAACUAUUUUGAGCAAAAAGAAGCAGUGUCUUCGGAACAUUUGAUCAUAAAACCAGAAAUUAAAGGAUGAGAAAAACAUUUUUCUGAAGCUUAUACUUUCACAUUUCCUAGAGAGCAUAUUUGUGUGGAUGGGGGUGGGUAAACACUCAACAAAAGUUUCUUUAAAAAGAAGAAACCAUCCUGGUUUGAUGUAAUCAAUGGUUGCCCACUGCUCCCUUCCUGUGCCUGUGACCCUUCCCAAACUGCCCUGUUGCUUGCAGGCUCGCCUGAGCUGAAAGGCAGCCCUCACAUCCCGUCGGCACCUCCCUGGGGCCUUCUUUACACCCUGGAGAACUUCACAGGGAAUCUGUGUCUGUAACACAAAGGCUUCCUGGUCCAGAUGUAGAUACUAAGGCUGACUGGUUAUUUAAGUCCUGCGGACUUACUCUGCCAAAAUUAUUUAAUCAUGUAAAAAUAAUUUAUAAUUCUUAUAAAGUAUCCCCUUCAUAAUAUAAUGAAUGUUGGUGCUAUUACAUUUAAGUGCACAUGUACAGUAUACAAGAUUAUUAAUAAUAAUGUUUUCAAAUAGUUAUUGUCAAAGCUAUUUUUCUUAUGUUUAUGAAAGUGCUUAUAAAAUUCAUGUUUUAUGAGGCUGGAGAUGUAUAUUUUGUAAUUUCAUUCUGAUAUUUGUUAAUAUUCGCUUCCAAUGCUGGUUUUGUUUGAUGAGACUGACAUUGCCUAAUUUCAAGCUUUUUGAAUGUGUAUUCUUUCAGGGCAAGUAUGAAAUAACUAGUAAAAAAUAUACAAAUAUGCUUAACAAUAAGUAGACUUUCUCACAUUGAUUACUUACAACAGCUUUAUGUGGGGUGAAUCAGAUGCCUGUAUUACAGAAGCAUCUAAUGCAAAGCAAAAUAAAAACACUUGCAUGAGCGCACAGAGGUAGGUGUGGAAGAAAGUGAAACACUAUUUUAGGUUUUAGUUACACUCUGCUGUGGUGUGCUGCCUAGUAUUUGCAGGUUAAUGCAAAUACUAGGGGUUAUGAAUUGUUUCUAAGUUUAUUAUUAAAAAUAGCCUUGCUUCAUUUCUUCCUAAAAUGGAGACAAAUAUGUAUAGUGUCUGUGUUACCAGUAUGUGUAAGAGUAAUAUCUUAAUGCGUGUAAAAUGUUUAUAGGAACCUGUAUUUCAAAGAGCUAUUUUUGCAAGUGACACUAUCCUUUUAAGAAACUUUUUUAUUCAAACUUUUUCCUCCAUUUAUAACUAUUCUAUUAUUUCUUAAUGUUCAGAACCCUUUUCAUUAUCUAUAAGGUUAAAUUUUAGGUAAGUAAUGAGAAAAUAAUAAUAUGUGGAGAAGAAAUGAGUGAGGAGUCGAGAUGUGUGUCAAUCAAGAAUGAGUUUGUCAGCCCUUGUAUUAUGAUUUUACUCGGGAGGGGAUAAUUAUUGAAGGAUGUAAUGUAAGGGCAGUGAUACUAUAUGGUAUGUAAGACUGUUAAAAUCACUGAGGUAAGCUAUUACUUGAACUAAGCAUAGAAAUAGAGACAGAUUUUUAAUGCAUUUAAUUAUCAAAAUAUCUAAAUUAAAGAUUUGAUGUGGUUGUUCACUGGAAACAAAUGGCAGACAAACAGAAUAUUUCUUGGAAUCAUAAAUGACAUCAUCCUGUCUCCAACUUUCUGUGUAGCUUCUUUCUUUAGUUGGUCUUUGCUUAGAUUUCCCUGUGUCAGAGACGACUUCCCUGGAUAUCAGUGACAGUUAUUGAUUGCUCAUGCUAUGAACUCCUCCCAUUUCUCAGCCCUCUUGCAGUAGGUGGGGCCAUGGUACUAGUUGUGGCUUAUUGCUUAAAGACUUUAAGGCUCCAUGUGUGACUUUCCAGCUCUGGUCCACUGCUACUGCGGCUCUGGCAGGACUAGGGAGGUGCCCCGUGUCUCAGAUGGUGCAGCCUCCAUCCAGCUGUGUCCCUGAAUGACUAGAGCACAGCCACUGGUGACCUGUGGUGGACGUAGAAUGUGGGUAAGAGAUAAACUUAUGCUACACCGCUGGGGUUCAGGGGCUAAUUUGUUACCACAGCAUAGUCAACCUUUUCUAGCACCCCAUUCUGUCUAAAUUUAGUAGUCCUACCCCACUCCAUGCCUCCCCAACCCUUCCCCUGGCUUUAGUUUCUUUGUAGCACUGGUCCCCGCAUGACCUGUCGUUGCUUUACUUUCUCGCAUCACUUCUCCCUGCCUCCAGCACAUGCACUAAAAUUUAAACUCCAUGCCUGGACAAAAUCAAUGUUUGUUAAAUAAAGUCUGCCAGUUCUGUUUGCGAUUUUUCAGAAACAAGGAAAGAAAUCCUAUAUAAAGUUGAUCUGUGCUUUGGCAAUAUUCAUUUAGGGUAAUUGCCCUUUUUUCAAAUGGCUGUGCAUUUUUUAUGAUGAUGAAUAUAAAGUAUUUAGCAGAAAUAUUUUUUAUUAAAAUUGUUGAGCUUAUGGAAUCAAUGUAGCAGCCUAUGUGAAAGAAACACUGUGCUAGAGAGUUGUCUUUCUGCCACGUGUAAUCAUUACAUUUAACUCAAGUUCUCCAUGGGAGAUCCAUGCAGAGAUAUGAAAAUAGGACGGACGUCUCUUCCUUCUUAAAAGUUGCUCCAGAUUUUGGCUUCAAGUGCUUCCUGUUUUUUGCCCUCCCUUAUCCCUGGGAGUUCCCUCUAUUUACUUUCACAAGGACUCUUGGUAUAAAAGAUAUUUGUAUACCUGGGUGUGUGGGAAGGAAUUGAAGGCAAAGGUAGCAGUCAUUUCAAGCUGAACAUGUUAAGUGGUAAUCGAGCACUUGGUUUUUGUAGUACCUCCUGUGGCCAUCUCCACAGUGUCAUAUUUGAAAGAAAUCUUGUGUAAGCAUUGGUCUAAGGGUCACUGACUGUGAAUAAUGAAUGCGGUGACAGCAUGGCCAUCUUAGAGACAGGCAGGCCAGAUAUUGGUUACUUUGAUUUUAGUUGACAAAGUUUAUUUGCUUUUAAGUUUUAAAGCAAUACAGCAGUGUGAACUUCAAGUUGUAAACUUUCAUUUAGAAAGUUUAAAAUUUAGUUGAAAUAUAAAAUAUUCUGAAUCUGAAUAAAAAGUUUUAAAACUU